GAGGAGCGAGAUGCUCCCAGCUGGUGAAGGGCUCCCUAUAGAUCCACCACCGUCCCUCUGGGUGGCCUUCAGGUGUUCACCCAACCUCGCUGAACCCUGAUAUCUCACUUGACACACAGGCAUAAUCCCUGCCCCCACCUCUGGGCUGAUGUGGAAACUAAAGGGAGUCUUACGUGAACGACACUGUGACAACAAGACAAAUUCCAAAGGCUCCAUCCAUCAUGAAGACUUCCCCUCCUGCAUGCCUCUGACUGCCUCCUGAAUGUUAAUAGCCUGCCCUGGAGAGUAAGGAGUGACUCGCUUGUGUCUGUCUACCAGACCCCACUGUGGAUGGGGGCAGGAGGCUGGAUCUCGUUUGUCUUUCACCUUGACUUUGGCCACUGUGUGCAGCACAGUCCCUGGCACAUGACAGAUGCUCGAUACAUGUCUGAUGAAUGAGAAUGUGCUAUUCAGUGUCUAGAGGUGGGCGAAGGGAUCCGUGCUAAGGUCCACAGCAAGAGCCCCCAUUGAGCGAGCUGGCAAGGUGGGUGGGACACCACGGGAGCACGAGAGAGUCUGAGGCUCCCUGGAGAGCCCAGCCCCUCCUCUCCAUCUUCCUGCAUUCAGAACACUUUGGAGGAACUGGAUGGAGUCUUGGAAGCAAUUGCUUCUUAUCUCUGAAAUUGCUUCCUCUUGUCUUCUGGGCAAGGGCAGCAGAGAGCCCCAGCUGGUUAAUAUCCAGCCCGCCGGUCGGAGUGAUUGCUCAUCAAACCCCAGAACCCAGAACGAGUUCAGGAGGGACUGUGGUCAGCCGUGGCCACGGAGGUCUCAGACAAACGGCUGCCCAGCGGAUCGGCCCACAUUAAGCGACAAACAUGAUUAAAGUCCAGAAAAUAGGACCUGUGAGGAAAGGAUGAAGCCAUCUGUUUGAUUUAUUGUGGAGGAGAACAAAUAACAAUUGCAAGUCGGUGGAAAUUUUUUACAAGAAGGAUGGCGACGCCCAGCACGAUGAGGCCAAAACAGGAAGAGAAGGGCUCAGAUGGCCUCACGGGGCCGGUCAGACGUAGGGAGGCAGGGCUUUCCCACUGCCCGGCGAUCAGCACAGCCAGGGGUGGAUGGUUUCCCAGAAGCAGCCUUGGAAUCUGACUUUCAGGGUAAAAAUGAUGACCCCCAAGUCUAGCAGAGAAACCUGACAAUUUUUGCAUCUGGGGCUGAAAAAAAGUGACAGUGAUGAGCUUGAAUAUUUCUCCCUUCUGAGCAGAUCCAGGACUCCAGGAUAAUCCGACAGACAAGGUGUGAAGGGAAGAGGAUCCAAAGAGAAUGCCAGACCCUAGUCUUUGAUGAGGCAAAGCCCACCCAAGGGUUCUCCUUCUGGCCCUGGGGCAUGAAUGAGCCUGCGGCGAGGUGACAAGGCUCUCACUAUGUCUUAAUCAGUUAAUGACAGAAAGCCAAAAUCAAUGGAUUGUGACUGGGGUAACUAGUGUGCUUGCAACAAAGAGGAACUGUGUUUUUCAGCAUGGAGUUUUACCAAUUAAUUCAUCAGUGAACAUCUCGUGGUUUCCUGUCUUGAUCAGGAACCAUGAGUAGAUACAAAGAGUGUGUGUUGCAUCUGUUGAAAAGAAGUGAAUCUGUUAAAAAUAAAAACACUUAUCACAGAUAGAAAAGGCAUCUUCUGAUACACAGCUCAAUAGAAAACACUCGUUUUAAAAUUUGCUUAGGUUCUGUAGUAAUUUACAUUAAGAUACAGGGAGACGCAGAGACAUGGAAAUGCCUGUCAUGAAGGAAGAAGCUCUGAUGUUCUCAGAUGCCUAGAAUCAGAAGGCACAGCAAGAAGAAGGGCCACAGGGCCAAGCGCCAGGGUGCAUCAGGAGGCAGGGGGGUGAGGGAGAAGCUCGGUUACGAGCCCUUAUUGGGGUUUCUGCAGGAAAGGCAAGGUGAGGCCGGGUAAGCAGAUGAGGAUGGGCUGGUUUGAAUACGUUCAGUGGGCCUUGAGGCACAGGGCCUGUCCCGAGUCAGCUGGUACCUGACCUUCCAGUGAAUAAGGCAGGUGGAUAGUGGUCCAGAGUAUUAAGAGACCACAGAGGAAGUGGGGAGAGGGAUGUGGGCUCCGGAUCGGGGAGUUUGCCUCUGACAUGCGUGCUCACAGACCAGUCACUCAUGAUCCCGGGGGUGGGGGGCAGUGACUCCCCCUGGUCAGCAUGGCCCCAGAUACCUGAGCAUCAGGAAUAUGGAAAAUAAAAAAAUAGACUUAAUACCACUCUACAUCCAAAGUGUAGAGUACAGACGCAGUUCACAAUCGUGUGGAUGUUGGUGGACAGCUGGAAAUGAGUGAACUUUAGGGAGGUGAAAAAAUAUUUUAGGCAAAGCCAUACAAAAGAAAAAAAUAGACCAGCAAGUUUAGAGGAAUGGGACAAGGGGACAGAGAACAGGGAUUAAAACUCAUGCCUCCUGCCCCCUCCUUCUUUCUGCUUCCCACUGGGUGGAGAGGGCAAAGUCACCGGGAAGCUAUGAUCUGUAAAGCAUGCCCUGGAGGAAGAAUGGUUUUUCCAGCAAGGAUGCAUGCUUGCUAAGGAUGCUACUAGGAAGGGUUUCUCCCCACGGUGGACCAAGAGAUGUUCCAAGGUCACGGAUACCAGUCCUAACCCAGCUGUCUUCCAAGUCUGCGGAACCACUGGAAGUGGAUCGGGUUCAGUGCUUACUGAACCUGCCCCAGCUGGACCCAUGACGGAGAGCUGCUUGGCUGCCAGUGGGUCGUGUUAUCAGCAGAACCUUCUCUACUGCCUCUGCUGACAUCACUGCCGACGGUCAGAUGGUCCUCCGUGACAGCUGCCCUUGACUUCCCUCCUUCCAGAGAUAAUAAAUAUGGUUGACAGUGUUUUGUCAACUACAACAGCCUAAGUCAUUUUCAGAGCCAGCUCAUUCAUUUGAUGUUCAGUUUAUUGAACACCUGCUAGAUCAAGCCAUUGUGCUAGGUGCUGAGACACAGCAAUGAACAUGAGAAACACAGGUCGUGCCCUUGUUUAGAAGAGAAAGAAGGAUGAUAAGUAAACAAAAUAAUUAGUUUAGUUAAUUACACAUUGUGUAAAUGCAGUGGCAGAAAUCAACAGGGAUGUGUGGCAGAGAAUUAAUAAGGUACACCUAUUUGGAGAGAUCAGGUUUGGCCUCUCCAGGGGGAAGUCAUUUAAAUUGAGAGCACAAGCUGAGAGGAAGCCAGCCUGUGCAAGGCAGAGAAGGUGCCCUCCGCACAGAUGGAGCUACAAGCACACAGGCCCCAAGGCUGGAAGAACAGGACUUGUUCUAGGAACUGAACUCUGAGGAACAUCAAGGAAUUUGGAUUUUAUUCCAAGGGCAGUGGGAGGAUUUGAAGCAGGGGCAUGAUGUGAUGAAAUUAAUGUUUUUUAAAAAGGCAAGUUUGGCAGCUCUACAGAAAAUGAAUUUUGGGGAGAAAGAUGGAAAGCAGAACAAUCAGCUGGGAGGCUGCUGAAUGGUGUGGAUGAGAGAGGAGGGCCUCCUGGACAGCAGGUGGGCUCAGGGUGUACUGCCGGGUACCAGACCCCUCACUGAAGAAGGUCAUGCAGGGGUGGGGGCAGUCAGGGAAGAAGGAUCAAGCUAACACGAGGAUUAGAUAUUGGUUGGAGGCGCCAUUUUUGAGAUGGAGAAGGCUGGGGAGUUAGUUGUUGUGAGGACAUUAUCAAGAGAAUCAUCAUCAAUUAAUGAGAAUUAUUACUGAUUAUUAAUGACGUUUGGCCCCAACUCAGGUCUCAGAAAGAUACCGUUAGUAUCAACAUUCGGUUUGGCCCUAAUGCAUCACCUUCUCUCCACCCAAACAUCCACAUCCCCAUCUUUGACUCAAGAGUACAAUUUCUCAACCUCAACACUGGGGACACCCAGGAGUAGAAAAUUCUUAUUGUGGGGGACUGUCCCGAGCACUGCAGGAUAUUGAGCAGCAUCCCUGGCCUCCACCCACUAGAGGGCAGCAGCGUCCUCUCCCCCAGUUCUGACAAUCAUAAACAUCUCCAGAUGGCGCACGCGUCCCCUCAUGGCCCAGUGGGUCCUGCUUGAGAGCCACCAGAGGGAUGGGUCUGGACAGGGGACCUGAGAAGAGGGUGGAAAACGGCACCUGCGAAGGACAGACGCCUGCCCGCAGUGCGGGAAUUUCUGUAGUUUGUCUGUCCCGCCGCUUCCGGGAAACAAGCAAUCUGGGGCUGGGAGAAGGCCUCCGGCAGCUGCCAAAACCCGCACCAAGGAAAUGCAGAGCAUCCAGGCCAGGUGUUGCCCCGUGAUUUCCUCAUUUAAUCCCCAUGACCACUCAUUCCACAUACAGCAAAGCAGAGGCUUACAGACCUUGAGCUGCAUGCCUCUGACAAUGGGGUCACUGAGUGGUGGGGGCCGUUGACGCCGGACCCUGUGCUUGUCCCUUGUUGUCACAGUUGCCUGUCCUGGGGACUGUGCCACAACUCACAAUAGCCCCUGUGUCCCAGGAUGCUCUGGCUUCAGAGGGGAAAAGGCAGGAUCUGUGACCCUUUCUCAUGCCACCAUUACACUCCUGUUCUGCCGACUUGCCCCUCAGGCCCAGGCCUGUGGAAACUCAUUGAUGAGGGUCCUGUGUCACCACUAGAAGACCCUAUGGGAGGGACUUUGGCUGCUGACCCUCACAGUCCAGCCACCACUUCACCACCACCACCACCAGGAUCCCUACCAGCCACCUAGGCUGGUCUCAGCUCAGUCUCCCAAGAACGCCCAGUCUCAUCAUUAUUGAAAGACAGCAACCUUCCAGCUGGACAAGACAGCUCAUCAAAUUUUAAAUAACUCAACAACACUUGAGUCUCUUGCUAAUAAGGUCUAAAGCAGGCAUAAUCCCCAUAAUGCCCUCACCUUGGCACAAGAUGCCCUAGCAAGCCCUCCUCCCCAAAUACACCCCACUAGGCAUUUCAUGUUUGAGCCUCAGGGGCUCUGUGCAGAGGCUCGACGGCUGAGUCCCCCAAGGGAGGAGAUGGGCAAUGGCUCCCUCCACUUCUUGACAGUGAUUUUCAAGCAAUCCAGUCCAAGAACUAUAUCACAGCGACAAAGGGCUAGUCCGUUAGUUCCUGGAGAACCAUCUGAUACUCUGUAGUACAGUUCCUGACAAAUCCCCCUGCAGGCAUUCUGUGAAAUGUUUGCUAAACUGAUGAAUUGAUGGAGAGACAGAAGGAUGAAUGAAUGCAUCAGAUGGUGAAUGGAUGGAUGCGAAGGAGGGAAGGAAGGAAGGAGGGAGGCACGGAGAGAGAAAGGGAAGAUUUAAGAAGCCUUUGAGAGAGUUCCCAUCUCGACUCAGUGGUAACGAACCCGACUGGUAUCCCAGAGGACGUGGGUUCGAUCCCUGGUCCGAGCAGUGGGUUAAGGAUCCGGCGCUGCUGUGAGUUGGGGUCGCGAUAUGGCUCAGAUCCUGCAUUGCUGUGGCUGUGGUGUAGGCUGGCAGCUGCAGCUCCAAUUUGACCUCUAGCCUGAGAACUUCCAUAUGCCUUGGGUGUGGCCC
RNAcentral lists this long non-coding RNA (5494 nucleotides) under Sus scrofa (pig). Its description in RNAcentral is "lncRNA (ENSSSCG00000060296.1)". Lineage: Eukaryota; Metazoa; Chordata; Mammalia; Artiodactyla; Suidae. The record is from RNAcentral.